RNAcentral lists this ribosomal RNA (1965 nucleotides) under human gut metagenome. RNAcentral's name for it is "bacterial LSU rRNA". It matches the Rfam family "Bacterial large subunit ribosomal RNA", at positions 831 to 2820 of the family's 2925-position model. The record is from RNAcentral.
AAUCGAACCCGGAGAUAGCUGGUUCUCCCCGAAAUAGCUUUAGGGCUAGCGUCGCAGCGAGAGAGCCGUGAAGGUAGAGCACUGAAUAUGCGAUGGCCGCAUCCCGCGGUACUGAGCAUAAUCAAACUCCGAAUGUCACGGUGUCAUCUGCGGCAGUCAGACGGCGAGUGAUAAGGUCCGUCGUCAAGAGGGAAACAGCCCAGACCAUCAGCUAAGGUCCCAAAGUGCAUGCUAAGUGGAAAAGGAAGUGGAGACGUGCAGACAACUAGGAGGUUGGCUCAGAAGCAGCCAUCCUUCAAAGAGUGCGUAACAGCUCACUAGUCGAAUGACUCUGCGCCGAUAAUUUACCGGGGCUAAGCAUGACACCGAAGCUAUGGACAGGAAUGUGGUAGGGGAGCAUUGCAUGCAGCGGAGAAGCAUGACCGAGAGGGCAUGUGGAGCGCAUGGAAGAGAGAAUGCCGGCGUGAGUAGCGGCACGUGGGUGAGAAUCCCACGCACCGAUGGCCCAAGGUCUCCAGAGGAAGGCUCGUCCUCUCUGGGAUAGUCGGGACCUAAGGCGAGGCCGAAAGGCGUAGCCGAUGGACGACGGGUGGAUAUUCCCGUACCCGAUGUGUGGCGAUGGAGUGACGGAGAAGGCUCAGGCAACCAGCUGCUGGAAUAGCUGGGGCAAGCGAGAUACCUGCGCACCAGGGAAAUCCGGUGCGCGCAGGGGGAAGGCGCGAAGCAUACGGAAAGCUGCGGCAAGUACGGAAAAGCUGAGAGCAGGCUUCCAGGAAAAGCUUCUAGCACAACACGCAUCGGCCCGUACCGAAAAUGGACACACAUGGGCAAGGAGAGAAUCCUGAGGUGAGCGAGAGAACUAUAGCUAAGGAACUCUGCAAAAUGACCCCGUAACUUAGGGAGAAGGGGUGCUCCAGAAAUGGAGCCGCAGUAAAACGGCCCAAGCGACUGUUUACCAAAAACACAGCUCUCUGCGAAGGCGCAAGCCGAAGUAUAGGGGGUGACGCCUGCCCGGUGCUGGAAGGUCAAGGGGAGCUGUCAGCGCAAGCGAAGCAGCGAGCCGAAGCCCCAGUAAACGGCGGCCGUAACUAUAACGGUCCUAAGGUAGCGAAAUUCCUUGUCGGGCAAGUUCCGACCCGCACGAAAGGCGUAACGAUUUGGGCGCUGUCUCAGCUGUAGACUCGGUGAAGUCUUAGUACCUGUGAAGAUGCAGGUUGCCCGCGACUAGACGGAAAGACCCCAUGGAGCUUCACUGCAGGUUGACAUUGGGCUUGGAUGCAUGAUGUACAGGAUAGGUGGGAGGCUGUGAGCCGUGCGCGCCAGCGUACGGGGAGCCGCUGUUGGGAUACCACCCUUCAUGCAUCUAGGUCCUAACCGGAGGCAACGGGCCACGGGACAGUGUCAGUCGGGCAGUUUGACUGGGGCGGUCGCCUCCCAAAGAGUAACGGAGGCGCCCAAAGAUACCCUCAGCAUGGAUGGAAACCAUGCAUAGAGUGCAAAGGCAUAAGGGUGUCUGACUGCGAGACAUACAGGUCGAGCAGGGACGAAAGUCGGGCUUAGUGAUCCGGCGGAUCCGAAUGGAAGGGCCGUCGCUCAACGGAUAAAAGCUACCCUGGGGAUAACAGGCUGAUCUCCCCCAAGAGUUCACAUCGACGGGGAGGUUUGGCACCUCGAUGUCGGCUCAUCGCAUCCUGGAGCUGAAGUCGGUUCCAAGGGUUGGGCUGUUCGCCCAUUAAAGCGGUACGCGAGCUGGGUUCAGAACGUCGUGAGACAGUUCGGUCCCUAUCUGUCGUGGGCGCAGGAUAUUUGAAAGGAGCUGUCCCUAGUACGAGAGGACCGGGAUGGACGAACCUCUGGUGCACCAGUUGUCACGCCAGUGGCACAGCUGGGCAGCCAAGUCCGGACGGGAUAAGCGCUGAAGGCAUCUAAGCGUGAAGCCCCCUCCAAGAUGAGACCUCCCAUUGG